Trichonephila clavipes is the source of this 73-nucleotide non-coding RNA. NCBI's taxonomy places the organism in Eukaryota, Metazoa, Arthropoda, Arachnida, Araneae, Nephilidae. The record is from the annotation of a GenBank genome assembly.
GUCCCUGUAGUGCAAUAGAUAGUGCGUUGGACGUUUAAUCCAAGGGUCUUGGGUUCAAAACCCACCUGGGAUG